Molecule: long non-coding RNA, 1466 nt
Organism: Tyto alba (common barn owl)
Lineage: Eukaryota; Metazoa; Chordata; Aves; Strigiformes; Tytonidae
Exons: 4
Source: RefSeq, a predicted model, not a curated record
GUGGCAUGCCCAAGGCUGAGGUCACAAGUCUGCCCACACAGAAGUGCACUGAAGUGUGCUAGAUGGUGCUGGUGUCGCCAGGACUAGGGACAUCUUGUACCAUGGUUUGUAGAUUUCUGUGGACUCUCCAUUGCUCAUAUUCUACGUGGGGUCAUCCAUACUGCCUUCCCAGAAGCAUCAAUCCCUGAUGUGACAUUUGCCCAAUAUGCAGGUUUCAAAGUAAAGAUCUACCACCUCAGAACUCCACACUCGUGGAAUACAGCAAGACCCAGGAGGCAACAGCAAAAUGGAGAGCAGCAACAUCCAACAAGGACUGUGAAGCACCAGGUGUAUGGUCCCCACUGAAACAGCAGCUUCAUGGAAGGUAGCCCAGGGUGGAGCCCAACCUGCCUGGAGAUGAGGGACCAGGACAAUCAGACAAGGGAGCACGUUCACCUGAGUUCCCAUAAAGACCUUGGGAACUACUUUCUUCAAAACAGUAGGAUACCGGGCUCUCCCAGGCCUCAGGUCCCACAGCAUCCCUCAUUCCCUCAGACCAGGGCUCUGCACAUGAGCUGUCGUCAGCAAAACCUUCAGUAACCAUGCUGAUGCGCAUAAGAGAUGGAAAGGGGAACCACUGUCUCUUGAGGGGGAGGCUGAGGAAACAGGUGACGUGUAGUGGGAGGAUGAGCAGUGAGAAAUGGAGAAAUGAAAAAUAGAAAGUUUUCGCUAGAGCUGUGGCAAAUAUAGUUCUUCUAAGUGUAAUGGAACUAGACAACAGAGUAGGCAGAGACAGCUUGGUGGCCUUUUAAAAGAGGAAGGAGUGACAAAUACAUAAAAAUACUAAACUGACCUAUGUCCUGAGGGCCCUGAAUAUCAAGCUCUAGGGGCUCACGCUGUGGUGAUUUUAAGAAGCUACUGGUCCAAGUUGUCCACCCAUUGCCACAGGUUAUUACCCCAUUGCUGACUUGUCAGAAAUAGCUGUUUGCCCACACUAUAGGCACCAAACUGAUGUAUUGACAUAAACUGAGGUGACUGUGGCUAAUUCAGUUCAGUAGGAUGUGGACUGUGGUGGCCAAGGGAUCUCCUUCUUGAUCCCUAUCAGGUUUAGUUGAAUAGGUGACCAGCCGAGGUCAAAAACCUCCUGAGCCAUCACAGCAUAACCUGACAAGCACCAAGAGUUCCCAAGAGACCACCAGGAGAGCUUUGACACUAUUUUAGCCAAUUUCUUAGUCUUUAGACCUCCUUUUCUCUGGUUUUCACAAGCUCCCUUGUUGCCCUAGCUUGCAGAAGUCAUUGGAGAAGGCUUACAAAAGCUCUGUAAGCAUGUUCUUUUUGUCUCUUUGUUGUCUUUCCUCUAGGGAGCUGAGUGCCAGACUGAGUAGCGCAGGCGGGAUAUAAUCCCUUGACAUGGUUCAGAGAAGAGCACUGGUAGUUUUAUAGCAUGGCCGUCAGGGUACAACGAGGGUCUGGGAGAAAUCCCAGGG